RNAcentral lists this long non-coding RNA (3774 nucleotides) under Selaginella moellendorffii. Its description in RNAcentral is "long non-coding RNA (SMOE_LNC000316)". The record is from RNAcentral. Lineage: Eukaryota; Viridiplantae; Streptophyta; Lycopodiopsida; Selaginellales; Selaginellaceae.
GCUUGAAAGAGUAAAUUUGGAAAUUCCUGGAAAUGCCAGCACCGAACACAUCAUCCCGCCCAGUGGAGAUUGAAGCAAGGAAUUGCUUCACAAGACAUGCCAAUUUUUUGUUUUUUUCUUUUGUAAGGUUCGAUAGAACGAAAAUGGAUGCUUGAAUUUCACUCUACAAGACUGUUUAGGCCAGCUCGAGCAAGCAGAUCGAUCAUGCACAUAAAAAUGGUCUUGAACCGGCUGGAUCCCGAAGUCUAGCUGCAUGGACACGAAGAAGGAGCAGCCAUCUUCGUAUCGCCCUCCAUGGCUGCAAGAGAAGAUGACGCUCACGAACGUGAUCUCGUCUGGAUCAACACCUCGCAAGACCAUCGCCACGAACAGCUCCAGCGCCUCCCAGAAGCAGCCGUUUUUGGAGUACGAAGCCAUCAUCGUGUUCCAAGCGACGAGGUGGUUUGGAGCCGGGAUUUGCUCGAACACCUCUCGCGAUUCCUCCAGGUUCCCACACUUCGCAUAGAGAUUCAUGAGAGCGUUCCCGACAACGAUGUCCCGAUCCAAUCCGGCCUCCACAACCGCGGCGUGGAUCAUCCGUCCCUCCACGAUCGAUGGAAUGCUCGCACAGGCGUCUAGCACGCCCACGUAGCUGAAAUUAUCGGGAUGGAAGCCCUCCACCACCAUUCUCUUGAAGAAUUUGAGCGAUUCGACAUGGCCACCCUCGCCAGAGCUCGAAGAAGCGUACAUCGCGAUCAUGAUGUUCCACGAGUUGAGAUCCUGCGUGAUCAUGGCAUCGAACAUCUCCCUGGCUUUGGAGAGGCGCCUGUUCUGCGCGUAAGCCGUGACCAUCGCAUUCCACGACACAGUGUUCUUCACGGGCAUGUCUUGGGACACGGCCUCGGCAUCUGCAAGAUGCCCGUUCUGGGCAUACGCAGCAACCAUCGCCGUCCACGUCACUACAUUCUUCUCGGGCAUCUCCUGAAAGACUUGAAACGCUUCUUGGGCACUUCCACACUUCCCAUACAUGUCUACGAGCGCGGUCCCCAGCACGACGUCGCACUUGUAGUCUUCCCCGGAAGCGACGAUCGUGGAGUGGAUGAUCUUCGCUACUGCAUUUCCCGCAGGCGCAUCUAGAGCUUGGAUCACACUCAGAUAUGAUACCUUGUCCGGCCCAACUCCCUGGAAAUCCAUCUCUCGAAACAGCUCCAGCGCCUCUUGCAUAAGCCCAUUCUGGGCAAAUGCUGCUACCAUCGCGUUCUAGGCCACCACGUCUCGAACUGGCAUAUGGCGGAACAAUGAUCUUGCGUCGUCGAGGUUGCAGCUUUGCUCGCAAGCAACCAAAAUUGCCGUCCAGGAAAUGGCGUCCCAAAGAGGCAUCUUGCUGAACAGCGUACGUGUCUACUGCAACUGCCCGUUCUGGGCAAAUGCGGAGAUCAUCGUGUUGAGCGAGUAAAUGUUGGGUGUCUCGAUGCGCUCGAACGCGGCGAUGGCGUCGCCGAGUCUCCCACACUUUCCGUACAUCUGGAUGAGGUUGUUUCCCAGAUACGUAUCGUGGUCGUAGCCGGCGAGCGCCAUUCGUUCGUGGAGCCGGCGACCAUCUCCCAGUGCCUUGGCGCUGGCGCACCGCCGGAGGAGAGAUCCAAAUCUUCCCACAUCGAUCGCGUUCUUUCCAGAGUCGCGGAGGAGGAGCCCAUCGAUCGCCUGCUUGAGCUGCUCGCGCAAACUCUUGCCGCUUAAUCUGGGCGAUGCUGCUGCUGCUGCUGCUGCUGGAUGCUCGUCGUCGCAGCUUAAGUUCUUGCCCACCACUUUUCCUAAAUACCAAGUUUAAACUCCAUUGGUAAUAUUAGUCUUGCUUGAACUCUAUUGUCCACCAAAGUGUUAUGAUUAAUUGCAUAAUAAGUAGUAGUUCCAUGGUAAAGGUAAUAUAUAACUCUAGUACAUUAGUGUUUGGUAUUGAAUAAUAUCAUUUCUUCAAAUGCCAACUUAAAAGAUUUUAUAACUUGCCUCCAACCUUCAAGGAGGUAUUAAGAUUUUAAUAUAUAAAUAAUUUUGUUUUAUAGAUCACAAUCACUUGGAGUUUUUAGAGCUUGAGGCUUUGGAAGUUUUUACAAGGAGCUAGACCAUUCUUGAGCCCACAAGUUAAAAAGUUGAAUUUAUGAGUUAAGCUUGAUACAAACAUUAUAAGCUUUAACAUAUUAUGGCAAAUAUUUUCACAACUCUCUGAAUAUUAUAUAAAUAUAAAGGAAUACAUAUAUUGAUGGAGCUAUUUGUUUGUAAAUUAUAAAAGAAGUAAAUUUAGGUGGACUUAAAUAAUUAAAAGAAUUAUAUAAGCCACUCCAUGAAUGUAAGCCCUUCAUAUAAUAUUAAUUUUAAAUAACUAUUCCAAAAAUAUUUUGGAGUAUUAGAAAAAAUGACAUUGUGAGUAACAAACAAUUAAAUAUUUGUUUUAUGAAGACGUAAACAUAUUGAGAAACAGUGAGGUUGGCAUUAUAAAUAUCUCAAUUUGUUAUAAUCUGGACCAUCCAAUAUUUGUAUAAGUAUGUUAGUAUUCCUUUAAAAAAUGUAUCAUGUCUUUAGGCAUUAUAUUAAUGUUUUUAUUUAGAUUAAUUAAUGCUCCUGAGGUUGGCUUUCGACCAGAAGAUACAGAUUAUAUAAAUUCAAAUACUACAAAUAGGAUUAUAUCAGCUCUGCUUUUAAUGGUAAGAGCUAAAAUUCCUCCUCAUGCAGCAGUACCACUAGGUCAAGGUAUCAAAGCUGAGGUAAUUCUACCAGAUGAAAUAUAUGGUAAAAUAAGUGUGAAUGUACAAAUAUGGCUUUAUAGCCAUGAAAGAGGGAAAAGUUUCAGGCAUUGUUCUGCUUAUCCUACUGGAGAGAAUGGUAAUACUACUGCCAUUAUAUUAGAUUUACUUUACUUAUUAAUGUAUUACCGUCCUAUUCUUAUAUCUUUAGGAUCUAGAUUAAUUGCUUUAACAUCAGGGAUCUAUGGUAUUUACUAUUGGGUUAGAAAUGUACCUCCAGCAAGGCAACCUAGCUCUAGAACAUCAAAUCAAUUUAUUAAUACAUCAAAUAAAAUUAACAAUUUUAAUGAUUGUCAUAUUUCCUUGAAUACAUUAAUUAGCUCUACAAUUCAUAAUAUUUUAUUAGAAUUCCAAUUUAUAACAUCUCCAAAUCAAAAAGCAUACUUAUAUUUGCAUCCUAAUUGCAAAUUAGAAUUAUAUAUUGGAAAUAAAUCAAAGUGGUUUAAAUCAGGAAAUUAUAUAAAAUGUUAUCUUGUAUUACAGGAUGAUGGAAAUCUAGUUUUAUAUAGCAUAAACAACAAAAUUGUGUGGUCACCAAAUGAAUAUUGUUAUCCCCAACCAAAUUGUGUGAUGAACUCAUAUCUUUCAUUACAAAACAAUUGUAAUUUAGUUUUGUACCAAAAUAUACAAGAUACGUUUUCUAAAGUACCAAGAGUUCAAAUCCUUUGGUCAACUGAUACUUUUUGUAAUUAAGAAACAUUAAUAUAGAUGUAUUAUUUAUCCCAAUCUUCUACUUCAUUCCAAUGUCUGUGUCUGUGGUACACAAAGUAAUGCUUGAAAGAGUAAAUUUGGAAAUUCCUGGAAAUGCCAGCACCGAACACAUCAUCCCGCCCAGUGGAGAUUGAAGCAAGGAAUUGCUUCACAAGACAUGACAAUUUUUUGUUUUUUUCUUUUGUAAGGUUCGAUAGAACGAAAAUGGAUGCUUGAAUUUCACUCUACAAGACUGUUUAGUUGUUCCGUGAAAUCAAUUUGAUCAAGCUGCUCCUUGGCCCGG